AAAUUGAAGAGUUUGAUCAUGGCUCAGAUUGAACGCUGGCGGCAGGCCUAACACAUGCAAGUCGAACGGUAACAGGAAACAGCUUGCUGUUUCGCUGACGAGUGGCGGACGGGUGAGUAAUGUCUGGGAAGCUGCCUGAUGGAGGGGGAUAACUACUGGAAACGGUAGCUAAUACCGCAUAACGUCGCAAGACCAAAGAGGGGGACCUUCGGGCCUCUUGCCAUCGGAUGUGCCCAGAUGGGAUUAGCUAGUAGGUGGGGUAACGGCUCACCUAGGCGACGAUCCCUAGCUGGUCUGAGAGGAUGACCAGCCACACUGGAACUGAGACACGGUCCAGACUCCUACGGGAGGCAGCAGUGGGGAAUAUUGCACAAUGGGCGCAAGCCUGAUGCAGCCAUGCCGCGUGUAUGAAGAAGGCCUUCGGGUUGUAAAGUACUUUCAGCGGGGAGGAAGGGAGUAAAGUUAAUACCUUUGCUCAUUGACGUUACCCGCAGAAGAAGCACCGGCUAACUCCGUGCCAGCAGCCGCGGUAAUACGGAGGGUGCAAGCGUUAAUCGGAAUUACUGGGCGUAAAGCGCACGCAGGCGGUUUGUUAAGUCAGAUGUGAAAUCCCCGGGCUCAACCUGGGAACUGCAUCUGAUACUGGCAAGCUUGAGUCUCGUAGAGGGGGGUAGAAUUCCAGGUGUAGCGGUGAAAUGCGUAGAGAUCUGGAGGAAUACCGGUGGCGAAGGCGGCCCCCUGGACGAAGACUGACGCUCAGGUGCGAAAGCGUGGGGAGCAAACAGGAUUAGAUACCCUGGUAGUCCACGCCGUAAACGAUGUCGACUUGGAGGUUGUGCCCUUGAGGCGUGGCUUCCGGAGCUAACGCGUUAAGUCGACCGCCUGGGGAGUACGGCCGCAAGGUUAAAACUCAAAUGAAUUGACGGGGGCCCGCACAAGCGGUGGAGCAUGUGGUUUAAUUCGAUGCAACGCGAAGAACCUUACCUGGUCUUGACAUCCACAGAACUUUCCAGAGAUGGAUUGGUGCCUUCGGGAACUGUGAGACAGGUGCUGCAUGGCUGUCGUCAGCUCGUGUUGUGAAAUGUUGGGUUAAGUCCCGCAACGAGCGCAACCCUUAUCCUUUGUUGCCAGCGGUCCGGCCGGGAACUCAAAGGAGACUGCCAGUGAUAAACUGGAGGAAGGUGGGGAUGACGUCAAGUCAUCAUGGCCCUUACGACCAGGGCUACACACGUGCUACAAUGGCGCAUACAAAGAGAAGCGACCUCGCGAGAGCAAGCGGACCUCAUAAAGUGCGUCGUAGUCCGGAUUGGAGUCUGCAACUCGACUCCAUGAAGUCGGAAUCGCUAGUAAUCGUGGAUCAGAAUGCCACGGUGAAUACGUUCCCGGGCCUUGUACACACCGCCCGUCACACCAUGGGAGUGGGUUGCAAAAGAAGUAGGUAGCUUAACCUUCGGGAGGGCGCUUACCACUUUGUGAUUCAUGACUGGGGUGAAGUCGUAACAAGGUAACCGUAGGGGAACCUGCGGUUGGAUCACCUCCUUACCUUAAAGAAGC
Molecule: ribosomal RNA, 1554 nt
Filed under: Escherichia coli
Lineage: Bacteria; Pseudomonadati; Pseudomonadota; Gammaproteobacteria; Enterobacterales; Enterobacteriaceae
Description: bacterial SSU rRNA
Rfam family: Bacterial small subunit ribosomal RNA
Source: RNAcentral